This is a long non-coding RNA of Sarcophilus harrisii (Tasmanian devil), 6560 nucleotides long. Lineage: Eukaryota; Metazoa; Chordata; Mammalia; Dasyuromorphia; Dasyuridae. The record is from Ensembl.
GCAUUAAAACUAUAAUAAUGGGGGAUAUCAAUGAUGCUGUCUCAGAAGUAGAUAAAUUGAAGCACAAAAUAAAUAAGAAAGAAGUAAAGAAGGUAAAUAGAAUUCUAGAGUAGUUAGGUAUGAUAGACCUUUCGAGAAAAUUGAAUGGAGGCAGAAAGGAAUAUAUUUUUUUCUCAGAAGUACAUGGAAUCUAUACAAAAAUUGACCAUGUAUUAGGACAUAAAAAUCUCAAAUGAAAUGUGGAAAGGCAGAAAUAGUAAAUGCAUUUUUGAGAUCGUGAUGCAAUAAAAAUUACAUGCAAUAAAAGGCCAGGGGAAAAUAGGCCAAAAUUAAUUGGAAACUAAUCUAAUUCUAAAAAAUGAGUGGGCAAAACAACAAUUGAUAAUUUCAUCCAAGAGAAUGACAAUAAUGAGACAACAUGCCAAAAUUGAUGGGAUGCAGCCAAAACAGUUGUUAGGGGAAGUUUUCUAUCUCUAGAUGCUUACUUGCAUAAAAUAUAGAAAGAGAAGAUUAAUGAAUUGGGCUAAAAAUUUAGAAAAAGAACAAAUUAAAAAACCCCAAUUAAAUGCCAAAUUUGAAUUUCUGAAAAUAAAGAAGAGAUAAAUAAAAUUGAUAAUAAUUGAUAAUAAAAUAAUAAAAAUAAUAAAAUAAAACUGAAAGUAAGAGCAAUAAUUAGGAAUUAUUUUGUCAAUAAAUCUUACGUAUGCCAAUAAAUCUUAUAAUCUAAGUGGAAUCGAGAAAUACCUACAAAAAUAUAGAUUGCCCAGAUUAACAGAAAGGAAAUAAACUACUUAAAUCAUCCAAUUUCAGAAAAAAGAAAUAGCACAAGCUAUUAAUCAACUCUCUAAAAAAAAAAAAUCUCUAGGGCCAAAUGGAUUUACAUAUGAAUUCUACCAAACGUUUAAAGAGCAAUUAAUUCUAAUACUAUGCAAACUAUUUGAAAAAAUAGGGAAAGAAAGAAUCCUACCAAAUUUCUUUUAUGACACAGAUAUGAUGUUGUAGUUGAAUCAGGUUGAGUCAAAACAGAGAAAGAAAAUUAUAGACAAAUUUCCCUGAAGAAUAUUGAUGCAAAAAUCUUAAAUAAAAUAUUAGCAAACAGAAAACAGAAAAUCAUCCCCAAGAUAAUACAACAUGACCAAGUAGGAUUUAUACCAGAAAUGCAGGCCUGGUUCAAUAUUAGGAAAACUAUUAGCAUAAUUGAAUAUAUCAAUAACCAAACUAACAAAAACCAUAUGAUUAUCUCAAUAGAUGUAGAAAAAAGCAUUUGACAAAAUCCAACACCCAUUCCUAUUAAAACCACUAGAAAGGAGAGGAAUAAAUGGAAUUUUCCUUAAAAUGAUUGAUAGCAUCUAUUUAAAAUCAUUAGCAAGCAUUAUGUGCAAUGUAAGGAUAUAUUAGAAUCAUUACCAAUAAGAUCAGGGGUGAAACAAGGUUGCCCCUCUCAACAUUUCUAUUGAAUAUUGCAUUAGAAAUAUUAGCUUUGUCAAUAAGAGAAAAAAAAGACAUUAAAGGAAUUCGAGUAAGUAAUGAGGAGACUAAAUUAUCACUCUGCAGAUGAUAUGAUGGUAUAUUUAGGGAAUCCUAGAGAAUCAACUAAAAAAACUACUAGAAACUAUUCACAACUUUAGCCAAGUUGCAGGAUACAAACUAAAUCCACAGAAAUCAUCGGUACUUUUAUUUAUUACCAACAAAGUCCAGCAGCAAAGGUACAAAGAGAAAUUCCAUUUAAACUAACUGUAGGUAAUAUAAAAUAUUUGGGAGCCUACCUGCCAAGGCAAAGGUAGGAACUGCAUGAACAUGACUACAAAACAGCUUCCAAAUAAAUAAACUCAGCUCAAAAUAUGAAGUGCUUAUGUGUAGGUUGGGUGAAUAUAAUAAAAUGACAAUACUACCUAAAUUAUCCUACUUGUUCAGUGCCAUACCAAUCAAAUUCCCAAGAAAUUACUUUACAGAUCUAAAAAAAAAAAAAAAAGAAGAAGAAGAAGAAAGUUCAUCAAGAAGAACAAAAAGUCAAGAAUCUUAAGGGAAUUAAUGGAGAAAAAUGCAAAUGAAGGUGGCCGAGCUGUACCAGACCUAAAACUAUAUUAUAAAGCAGUAAUCAUUAAUACUAUUUGAUACUGGCUAAGAAAUAGAGUAGUUGAUCAGUGGAAUAGGUUAGGUUCACAGGAGAAAAUAGUAAAUGACUAUAGUAAUCUGGUAUUUGACAAACCCAAAGACUCCAGUUUUGGGGAUAAGGACUCACUGUUUGACAAAAACUGCUAGGAAAAUUGAAAACUAGUAUGGCAGAAAUUAGGCAUUGACCAACAACCUAUUCCAAGGUAAGAUAAAAACUGAUUCAUGAUUUAUACAUAAAAAGUGAUAAUAUAAGCAAAUUAGAAGAAUAAAGGAUAGUUUAUACUUCUCAGAUCUGUGGAGAAGGAAGUUAUUUGUGGCCAAAAAAGAACUGGAGUUCAUUAUAGAACACAAAAUAAAUAAUUUUGAUUAUAUUAAGUUAAAAAGUUUUUGUACAAACAUAACCAAUACAAGAUUAGAAGGGAAGGAAAAACUGGGAAGGGGGAACAUUCAGGGAUUCUGAUAAAGGUCUCAAUUCUAAAAUAUAUAGAAGAAUUGACUCAAAUCUAUAAGAAUUCAAGCCAUUCUCUAAAUGAUAAAUGGUCAAAGGAUAUGAACUGGCAAUUUUCAGAUGAAGAAAUUGAAACCACUUCUAGUCAUAUGAAAAGAUGCUCUACAUCACUAUUGACCAGAGAAAUGCAAAUGCAAAUUAAGACACACUACAUACCUCUCAGAUUGGCUAAGGUGACAGGAAAAGAUAAUGAUGAAAGUUGGAGGGGAUGUGGGAAAACUGGGACACGAACAUAUUGUUGGUAGAGCUGUGAACACAUCCAACCAUUUUGGAGAACAAUUUGGAACUAUGUCCAAAGAGCUAUCAAAAUGUGCAUACCCUUUGAUCUGGUGGCUCUACUGGACUUAUAUCCCCAAGAAUUCAUCAAGGAGAAAAAGAAACACAAAUGAGCAAAAAUAUUUGUGUCAGCUCUUUUUGUAAUGGCCAAAAACUAGAAAUUGAGUGAAUGCUCAUCAGUUGGAGAAUGGUUGAAUAAGUUAUGAUAUAUGAAUGUUAUGAAAUAUUAUUGUUCUAUAAGAAAUGAUCAGCAGGAUGAUUUAGGAGAAUCCAGGAAUUAAUGCUGAGUGAAACAAGCAGAACAAGGGGAUCAUUGUAACCAGCAAUAAGAUUAUAUGAUGAUCAAUUCUGAUGGACAUGGUUCUUUUCAACAAUGAGAUGAUUGAGGUCAGUUCCAAUGAUCUUAUGAUGAACAGAGCCAUCUACACACAGAGAGAAGAUUGUGGGAACUGAGUGUGGAUCAUGACAUAGCAUUUUCAUUCUUUUUGUUGUUGUUUGCUUGUAUUUUCUUUUUUUUUCAUUUUUUCCUUUUUGAUUUGAUUUUUUUUCUUUUUGAUCUGAUUUUUUUCCUGUGCAGCAAGAUAAUUGUAUAGACAUAGAUAUAUACAUACAUUAGGUUUAACAUAUAUCUUAACAUAUUUAACAUAUAUUGGAUUACUUGCCAUCUAGAAGAGGAUGCUAGGGAAAGGGGAGAGAAAUUUGGAAGACAAGGUUCUGCAAGGAUCAAUGUUGAAAAUUUAUCCAUGCAUAUAUUUUUUUAAAUUUUUUAUUAAAUUUUUUUAUUUACAAAACAUAUGCAUGGGUAAUUUUUCCAACAUUGACCCUUGCAAAACCUUUUGUUCCAAAUUUUCCCCUCCUUUCCCCCAUCCCCUACCCUAUCUGGCAGGUAGUCCAAUACAUGUUAAAUAUGUUAAAAUACAUAUUAAGUCCAAUAUAUGCCUACAUAUUUAUAUAGUUAUCUUGCUGCACGAGAAAAAUCAGAUCAAGAAGGAAGAAAAAGAAAAACUGAGAACAAAAACAAAAUGCAAGCAAAAAACAGAGAGAGUGAGAAUGCUAUGUUGUGUUCCACACUCUGUUACCACAGUUCUCUCUCUGGGUGCAGAUGGCUUUCUUCAUCACUGAACAAGUGGAACAGGUUUGAAUCAUCUCAUUGUUGAAGAGAGUUACAUCCAUUAGAACUGAUCAUCAUAUAGUCUUGUUGCCGUGUAUAAUGAUCUUCUGGUUCUCAUGCAUAUGUUUUGAAAAUAAAAUAACUUUAAUAUAAAAAAAUCAGAUUUUUUUUUCCCUGUACUGAUGAAUAACAGAUAAUCAUCUGCCAUAAAUAUUUUCCUUCCCUAGUAAUCACUGAUAAUCCUGUUCAGUACCAAAGCUCAAAAUUUACCCAAUGGUUUUUAUAGUAUAAACUUCAGUGGAUAUAUCACUGUGUUUCCUGACCACCUUGACUCAGCCCUAAACCAAAACCUUACUCCUCCCAACUUCUUCAGCUCUCUCCCCACUUGAUCUGAGGUGAAGAAAGGAGACAACUACCAUUCUUUGAUGUUAAGAGAAAACACCUGUAUCACACAGAACAAAUUGCCAUCCUAAGAAUAGAAACCCCACUGCAAAAUAACAAUUCUACUCAAAUUCUGGGUGUGAACUCAAAUUCUGGUUAGUAGUUGCCUGGUCUGGUAGAAGUUAGCUGCACAUUUCUCCAGCCUGUCCCUUUCUACUCACAGCACACCCACUCUAAUUCACACAAUCCCUCAACAUCUUUCUCCUUGACUUUUGAAAUAGUUUUCUAAUGUAUCAUCUACUACAAUCUAUUUUCUCCAGAGCAUACAAAGAGCUGCUAAAUUGUUAUCCCCAAAGUUCUGACCAUUUUCCACUCCAGAAGUUUCAUGUGGCCCCUUCUUGCCUCUAGGAGAAAUUUCACUUAUCCUUAAAACUUCAUAAUCCUUUUUUUUUUUUUGCCUCUAAUGUUAUUUAUUUUAAUCUGAAUUUAAGAAAUAAAACAAACAUUUGCAUAUCAUCAAAAAUGAGGGGGAAAUAUGAUUGUAUAUGAAACUGGAAAUCUCUGAUGCAUACUGGUUAUGUGACCCUUGGGAAAUUAUUUACUUUCUUUUUUAUUAUAUUAUAUAUAUAUUAUAUUAUGUAUAUUUUUGUUUGCAAAACAUAUGCGUGGGUAGAACCUUGAAAAACCUUCUGUUCCAACUUUUUCCCUCCUUCCCCCCACUACCUGCUCUAGAUGACAGGUAGUUCAACACAACUUCAUAAUCUUUAAAAAAAAUUAAUAAUGGCUUUUUAUUUUUAAAAUACAUACAAAGAUAGUUUUCAACAUCCACUCUUGUAAAACCUUGUGUUCCAAUUGUUUCUCCCUUCUUUUCCCACACUUCCCUCCCCAAGUCAGCAAGUAAAUAUAUGUUAACCAUGUGCAAUUUUCUAAACAUAUUUCCACAUUUAUCAAGUUGCAUAAGAGAAAUCUGAUGAAAGGGGUGGGGAGGGGAAGAAAGAAAGAAAAAGCAAGGAAAAACCGUUAAAAUAUGAAAAUACUAUAUUUUGAUCUAUAUUCAAUCCUUAUACUCCUUUUUCUGGAUACAGACAGCUCUGUACAUCACAAGUCUAUUGGAAUUGGACUGAAUCACCUUAUUGUUGAAAAAACCCAUAUGAAUCAGAGUUGAUCAAAAGCAAUCUUGUUGCUGUCUACAAUGGUCUCUUGGUUCUCAUUUCACUUAGCAUCAGUUCAUGUAAAUUUCCCCAGGACUUUUUGAAAUCAUCCUGCUGAUUGUUUGUUAUAAAAUGAUAAUAUUCCAUUACAUUCAUAUAUUACAACUUAUUCAGCCGUUUUGUAACUGCUGGACAUCUACUCAAUUUCCAAUUCCUUGCCACUACAAAAAAGGGCUACUACAAACAUUUUUGUACAUAUCUUCACAAUCUUUUCAGACAGAUUGAUGACACAGGACUUUUCCAACUAAAUUUUCCUGCUUGCUCUUGUACAUUCAUAAUGUUUCCUUUUUUGUUUGGAGUUUUUUGAUGAAACUGUUGAAGUUAAGUCGCUUGCCCAGGGUCACAUAACUAGUAAGUGUCAACUGCCUGAAGCCAGAUAUGAAUGUACAUAAUAUUUCAGUUCUCCUGUUCCUUAUUUGUUACAGGAGCAACUUGCUAGUGGCUGCUGGGGAUCUGAUUCUGACCAGCAGAAUAGUUCCCUUCAUGUGAGAGUAUGAUAAAGAUACAAGAACACUGAGAGGCAAUUGCAUUCUCUGACUUCUCUCCUCUUCCCUUUUGUCUUCAAUUUAUUUCAUUCCCAAUCCACAAGCAACAUCUGCAUCAGUAAAGGCUUAUUUGCAAUUCCUUCAAAUGUGUUAUGAUUCACAGCUGUGGGGGCUUUUGGAGAAUCAACUUGCCCCUUCACACUUAGGCAUGGUCCUUAACAAUUCCUGAUUUUUUUGUUUCAUGGGAACACAAUUAUUUUCCCCCAACAGCAUGAUCAGUAAGUUUUUCCAAUAUUGUGAAGCAGCUGUUAUCUGAGUCCUCAUGCUGAGGAAUGCAAACAGCACUAUCAAAAGUCUUUUCCAUCCUAUUCUCUCUGGAUGGUUUCAGGUUGAGAUGCUAUAGCAGCUGUUGAAUCUUGUGAGAAUUAAUUUACUCUAACAUCAUAAUAGUCCAUCAUGGAGACAAACUUUCU